This 454-nucleotide ribosomal RNA is filed under the name uncultured bacterium. RNAcentral's name for it is "partial 16S ribosomal RNA". It matches the Rfam family "Bacterial small subunit ribosomal RNA", at positions 28 to 507 of the family's 1533-position model. The record is from RNAcentral.
GAUGAACGCUGACAGAAUGCUUAACACAUGCAAGUCCACUUGAACUUCGGUUUGGGUGGCGGACGGGUGAGUAACGCGUACAGAACUUGCCUCACAGAUAGGGACAACAUUUGGAAACGAAUGCUAAUACCUGAUAUUAUGAUUAUAUGGCAUCGUAUAAUUAUGAAAGCUAUAUGCGCUGUGAGAGAGCUUUGCGUCCCAUUAGCUAGUUGGAGAGGUAACGGCUCACCAAGGCGAUGAUGGGUAGCCGGCCUGAGAGGGUGAUCGGCCACAAGGGGACUGAGACACGGCCCUUACUCCUACGGGAGGCAGCAGUGGGGAAUAUUGGACAAUGGACCAAGAGUCUGAUCCAGCAAUUCUGUGUGCACGAUGAAGUUUUUCGGAAUGUAAAGUGCUUUCAGUUGGGAAGAAAAAAAUGACGAUACCAACAGAAGAAGUGGCGGCUAAAUACGUG